Mus musculus (house mouse) is the source of this 494-nucleotide long non-coding RNA. RefSeq annotates it as predicted gene, 46868. The record is from RefSeq and is a predicted model, not a curated record. The transcript is spliced from 3 exons. Lineage: Eukaryota; Metazoa; Chordata; Mammalia; Rodentia; Muridae.
CUGCCUGAGUGACGGCACUGUGUGGCACUUCUGAUGAUAGCAGCAGCACUGUAGCAGCCACAUCCUGUGAGGUCCAUGCCUGGUGCUUCAGUCCUCGUCAUUGUGACUCAGAACGGGCCCUGUCCCGGGUUCUCAGAAACUUGAUUAUAAUGAGCCUCACUCAGUUCUAAGACUACCAACGUCAUCAGAAUGUGCUGAGGAGUAAAUUUUAGAGAACCUGUGAAGCAUGCUGAAUCAUAACUUGGAAAGCACCCAUGGUCCCCGUUAUCAGCACCUCUGCUUCUCCUUGAUCCCCAGACCGGAGAACUCCUCUUGAUGGCUCUCCUCGUGCAACCUUUCUGCUAAGAGGCUAUUCCGAGGGCAAGCCUCUCUGUGGAUGAAAAGCUUCCAUGUUUUCGGCUGGAUGAAGGAGGUUCCCGAGAGACAGAAGGAAAGCCUGACCUGCCAGCUCUGUGCAGCCUCUGUGGGGUUAUUCUUUUUUUUUUUCUUUUUUU